GAAUUGCGAAAAGUAAUGCGACUUGCAUAAAUCGUGAGUCAUCGAAUCCUUGAACGCACCCUGCACCUUUUGGCUAUCCGGAAGGUCUGCCUGUUUGAGUAGAUGAAAUAAGCAUCAAGUGGCAAGCUGCCGUCGAACAGUAGCCAUCUUGGGUUUGAGCUUUCCAGUGUCUGCUACAUCCGUAGCAACCCUGGUAGCUUUAAAUGCAUGAAUCGGAACGAGUGUGCCUGAUGGCGCGAACGGUGUUUUAGUCGGGUCAGAGAUGACCGGUCAAGCACGCCAGUAGCGGCACUCUAAAGCGCGCUCGCGUCCGAACACUGGGGCAGUGGUUCGACCCUGCCAUAACCGCACUCUUCAUCUCAAAUCAGGUAGGAAUACCCGCUGAACUUAA
Molecule: unclassified non-coding RNA, 391 nt
Filed under: uncultured fungus
Lineage: Eukaryota; Fungi
Description: sequence contains ITS1
Rfam family: 5.8S ribosomal RNA (bases 1-104)
Source: RNAcentral